Molecule: long non-coding RNA, 748 nt
Organism: Rhineura floridana
Lineage: Eukaryota; Metazoa; Chordata; Lepidosauria; Squamata; Rhineuridae
Exons: 4
Source: RefSeq, a predicted model, not a curated record
ACCUUUCCCCUCUCAUUUCCCUAUAGCGCCAGGGCUUAGUUUGCCUUGGACCGCAGACCCAAAAUUCAUUUUCUGCUCCUCUGAGGGACACUGGACAUGCCAACAUUAAAUUUAUCUACAAAAUAGUUAACUGGACAGUAACAGUUGGACAAUACUUCAUUGGGACCUUCUUUGGAACCAACCAAAAUGUCAUAAAAUUUCUCAAGUCUUCUACUCUUUGGCUCUCGCAGCCCAAGCUCUUGCCGACUCCAGCCUUGUGCUUUAAAGGAUCAGGAUGAAAUUGGCUGGAUAAGACAGAGAGGAAUCGGUAAUCUUGCAUUUGGGAGGGUCAAAUAUGCCACAUGUAGAAAGCUGAGAACGAAACCAUUUUCUGCUUGAGAAUCUACAUCAGUCUAAUGCAUUUUCGCCCUCUCCACAUUUCUUCGGUUCAAACGUUUUGGAGAAGACAGAAUAGACAGUGACGACGUUAAGGCUGCUGCUGUUUCCCUCUUUUUUCGGAACUACAAAAAAGAAACAACAGAUGGCUUCAGGGAUAGGCUUCUCCUUGUUGACAAACACCCUAAUUUGAAACAACAGCUUAUCUGCAAUGAUGAUCCACUCAACAGAGAAACAGAGAACACGAUCAAACCCUGCAACAAGCACAGAAGUCAACUCUGUCCCCGCGUCUACUCAGGCUAAAAGACUAGUGGGCCUAUAAUAAUACCUUUGCUUUACCAUCAGGUCCCAGGUCAUGUUAUGUACAAUUAUG